This 257-nucleotide unclassified non-coding RNA is filed under the name Neodeightonia sp. RNAcentral describes it as "partial contains 5.8S ribosomal RNA, internal transcribed spacer 2, and large subunit ribosomal RNA". The record is from RNAcentral. Lineage: Eukaryota; Fungi; Ascomycota; Dothideomycetes; Botryosphaeriales; Botryosphaeriaceae.
AACGCACAUUGCGCCCGCCAGCAUUCUGGCGGGCAUGCCUGUUCGAGCGUCAUUUCAACCCUCGACAUCCCUUUGGGGAAGUCGGCGUUGGGGACCGGCAGCACACCGCCGGCCCCGAAAUUGAGUGGCGGCCCGUCCGCGGCGACCUCUGCGUAGUAAUCCAACCUCGCACCGGAACCCCGACGUGGCCACGCCGUAAAACACCCAACUUUCUGAACGUUGACCUCGGAUCAGGUAGGAAUACCCGCUGAACUUAA